UUAUCAAAAACAUCGCCUCUUGCAAAACUAACGAAUAAGAGGUCACGCCUGCCCGGUGACUUUAAGUUUAACGGCCGCGGUAUUUUGACCGUGCAAAGGUAGCGCAAUCACUUGUCUUUUAAAUGGAGACCUGUAUGAAUGGCAUCACGAGGGCUUAACUGUCUCCUUUCUCUGGCCAAUGAAAUUGAUCUCCCCGUGCAGAAGCGGGGAUAAAAACAUAAGACGAGAAGACCCUAUGGAGCUUUAGACACCAAGACAGCUUACGUCAAAGGCCUCAUAUAAAAGAUUGAACUACAUAAAUCUCUGUCCUAAUGUCUUCGGUUGGGGCGACCCUGGGGAGAUAAAGAACCCCCAUGAGGACUGGAGAGAUAUCUCCAAAACUAAGAGCUCCCGCUCUAAGAAGCAGAACUUCUGACUGCAAGAUCCGGCAACGCCGAUCAACGGACCGAGUUACCCUAGGGAUAACAGCGCAAUCCUCUUCUAGAGCCCUUAUCGACAAGGGGUUUACGACCUCGAUGUUGGAUCAGGACAUCCUAAUGGUGCAGCCGCUAUUAAGGGUUCGUUUGUUCAACGAUUAAAGUCCUACGUGAUCUGAGUUCA
RNAcentral lists this ribosomal RNA (600 nucleotides) under Thalassoma quinquevittatum. RNAcentral's name for it is "partial 16S ribosomal RNA". It matches the Rfam family "Bacterial large subunit ribosomal RNA", at positions 1804 to 2613 of the family's 2925-position model. Lineage: Eukaryota; Metazoa; Chordata; Actinopteri; Labriformes; Labridae. The record is from RNAcentral.